Molecule: long non-coding RNA, 994 nt
Filed under: Papio anubis (olive baboon)
Lineage: Eukaryota; Metazoa; Chordata; Mammalia; Primates; Cercopithecidae
Description: lncRNA (ENSPANG00000039380.1)
Source: RNAcentral
AUGCCUAUGACAAGUUCUGGUGACCGGAAAUCAGUGCUGUGGACUAAAAUCAAGCUGUUGGCAAGGCUGUGCUCCCUUCAGGGGCUCCAGGGUGGAAUCCAUGUCUUGCCUUUUCCUGCAUGGAGAGCUACAUUUCUUGGCUCAUGGUGCCCAUCUGUCUUCAAAGUCAAAGUAGGACAUUUCCGACACCCACCAAAAAAGAGUGGGAAUCCACAAACCACUAGAGAAAAAUAGAGAUUUUACUGAAGAUUUUGAACAGAAGAUUAAAGAGACACUUGUGAUUAUACCGAACCUACCGGAAUAAUCCAGGACAAUCUCACCAAUUCAAGAACCUUAAUUUAAUCACAUCUACAAAGUCCUUCAUUGCAGGUAAGGUAACAUAUUUACACUUUGGGGGAUUAGGAAGUGAGUAUUUUUUAGGACUGUUAUUCUGCCUACUACACAAGAAUAGCAUAAAAUAUUCUUAAUUUUUUUAUUUUUUAUUUUCAUAGAUUCAGGGGCUACAUGUGCAGGUUUGUUACAUGGAAAUAUUGGAUAGUAUCGGGGUUUGGACUUCUAGUGUACCCAUCACCUGAAUAGUGAACAUUGUACCCAAAGGGUAAUUUUUCCACCUUCAGGCCAAGCAUGGUAGCUCAUGACUGUAAUCCCAGUGUUUUGGGAGGCCGAGGUGGGUGGAUCACUUGAGGUAAGGAGUUCGAGACCAGCCUGACCAACAUGGUGAAACCCUGUCUCUACUAAAAAUACAAAAAUUAGCCGGGCGUGGUGGCACAGGCCUGUAAUCCCAGCUACUCGGGAGGCUGAGGCAGGAGAAUUGCUUCAACUUGUGAGGCAGAGGUUGCAGUGAGCCGAGACUGUGCCACCGCACUCCAGCCUGGGAGACAGAGCGAGACUCCGUCUCAAACAAAACAAAACAAAUUUCCACCUUCAGCAUGAACUAUUCUAUCUUAUAUCAUGACUAUAAUUGUAAUGCUCAUUACAUUGUUAUUUUUCUUAC